Molecule: ribosomal RNA, 510 nt
Filed under: uncultured bacterium
Lineage: Bacteria
Description: bacterial SSU rRNA
Rfam family: Bacterial small subunit ribosomal RNA
Source: RNAcentral
GGCGGCAUGCCUAAGACAUGCAAGUCGAACGAGACGACCUAGGAAACUGAGUGCUUGCACGAAGUUGGAUCAAGAUCAUCGUCUAGUGGCAGACGGGUGAGUAACACGUGGGUAACCUACCUUUAAGCUGGGGAUAACAGUUGGAAACGAUUGCUAAUACCGAAUAAGAUACACGUAUUGAAAGAAGCCUUUAAAGCUUCACUUAAAGAUGGGCCUGCGGCGUAUUAACUAGUUGGUGAGGUAAUGGCUCACCAAGGUAACGAUGCGUAGCCGAACUGAGAGGUUGAACGGCCACACUGGGACUGAGACACGGCCCAGACUCCUACGGGAGACAGCAGUUAGGAAUAUUCGUCAAUGGGGGAAACCCUGAACGAGCAAUGCCGCGUGAGUGAUGAAGGCCCUCUGGGUUGUAAAACUCUGUCGUAUGGGAAGAACGGACUUACUAGGAAAUGAGUGAGUAGUGACGGUACCAUGCGAGAAAGCUCCGGCUAACUACGUGCCAGCAGCGGC